CAGAAGAGAGGUGAACCUUUAGCAGCACAUCAGGAAGGAACAUCUAAUAGAGGAGGACAGCAGGAGCCUGGACUCUGGAGGAGUUGAGAACUCACUUUUACGUCUCGUAAAAGCUUUCAAAGGGCAUACACACUUGUAUGAUACCUCCAUGCGUUUACAUUUCGACAAAGAGGCUCUCGAAACAGUUGGCGCGAAAUUGCUACAUAUUUAAACUCCGAUCAAGAUACUUGCAGGAAGAAAUGGAGACUUGCGUGGGACCGUCAUGUGAGAGCACUGAAAAGGUCUAAGGAUAUGCCAGAGGGUAUACCGAGGCCUGGAAGCCUGAGUUGGCUCACCAUUUUUAUAAAACAUCGGCAAACCAACCCAAACUUUCCCGAGGUAGCUAGCUAGCGAAGAUAGUGAAAAUGUGUGGUUACAGUAAGUUACCUAGUUGCCAGACCUGUGUUAUUCACAGCCAGCCAGCUAGCUACUGCUAUCAUGACUAGUUAUGUGUGUAAUACCAUAGACUUAUAGACCAGUAAUUAUCGGUAUUAUCAAAGAAAAUUAUCUAAUAGUUCGACUGAAGAAACCACUAUUUUUGGCACUGGGUUCGCAGUUCAAAUGAGUGCAAUAUCAACCAGCAGAGUACGCACAUGCAUCAGUAUGAGAUUGCGGAGAUUAAUGUAACAUUUUCUUUUUGAAAAAUUAAAACACUGAGUCAACUGUUUAUGGCAAUCUGCUUUAUUCAGAACAUAUGACAGUGACAAUGAUUAAUUUAGUCAUAAAAUGAGAAAGUACUGUUUUAUUGUUUGCAACAGGCUAGCCUUACUGGUAAUCUUUUAAAGAUGUGCAAUUACUGCCUCUUGUUUUGUUGAUUUCCAUAGAUUUCAGCAGACAGAGUUGAGAGUCCUAAUGACAACCUGGAUCAGACUCCCUUGUUUUCAGACCAGGCAGGUCCACUGUUCCCUUUAUCAUCUUUCCGUCUCCUGGUUCCACCUCUACGCCUGAUGUCAGCUUUCAUGUGGCAAGUGGCUCAAGAGCGUAAUGUGAUGCAGUAUGGGAAGCUGGAGGAGUUUGUUACUUUUGUGACAGAGAUGGUUCCAGAGCUGCUGAGCUCCAGGCAGAGGACCCAACUCAUCCUGGGACUGAGAGCAAGGAUGGUUUUAGAGUUGUUUCGUAAUGAAAACCCACCGGACCCCCAGACCAUCCAACUUCCUUUGGACAGAAUCAAAACGUCUUCAGUACAUGCUGUGCAUGAGGAUUCACAGAGUAGAAAUGAGUUGGAGGCUUCAGAGUCUAACUUUGUGGAGCUGGUCAAAACCCUGCUCGAAGACCCUUCUGAGAAGAAGCACUUCUUCCAGGUGGUGUAACCAAUACGUUACAGCCCUCUGUAUGACACAGCACUGCAGAUACUGGUGUGGGAGUUUCUCUCCCGACUGGAGGAGCUGCUGCCUGUACCAGACCUCACAGAGAGACACAGGAGAGGAGUGCUUCUUUGAUUGAAGACCAUGGUGCUUGCCUACGAAGCAGCAAAGGGAACUGCACCUCCUUACCUUCAGGCUAUGCUCAAACCCUACACCCCAACCCGAGCACUCUGUUCUGCCACCUCUGGUCUCUUGGCCCCUCGCACCCCUACGGGAGGGCAGCUCCCACUCAGCCCAGUCAAAGCUCUUCUCUGUCCUGGCAUCCCAACUACACCCCACUAACUACAGCAUCUUGUCUCAGCCUUGCCCCCGCUGACCUGGAGGAGUUCUGGCAUUCUGUCUCUGACCCCGAGCACCUGAAGACACUGCUGCAGCAUCAUAGACAUCUGGGUCACUUGCGCAAAAAUGAAUUUUCCAACCAGGUCGCAGACAACAUCUUGUCCACAUUGUCAAUGUCGAUGGACAUGAAUGCAUGAAAGGGAGCACAGAGGGGUGGAAGAUCAACAGUGAGGAAGGAGGAGAGUUGCAUUUUGAAAAGAACUUAGAGGAUGAUGGAAGUGAAAGAAAUGAAGACACUGAGAGAGGAUUGAAGGAUAAGGAUGAUGCAAACUGGACUUCCCCUCUGAGUGAACCAGAGGACUCGGAUGAACUGGCUAGUGACAUGCCCUCCCAGGUCUUCUCCUGCCCCCAGUACCCAUUCUCCCACAGGGAAAUGGUGGACCUUCAGCAGCACAUCAGGAAGGAACAUCUAACAGAGGAGGACAGCAGGAGCCUGGACUCUGGAGGAGCUGAGAACUUACUGCCAUCCAGUGAAACUGCCAGGAGCUCCUCAGCCAAGAGCUCCUCAGCCAAGAGAAUCAAUAAGAACACCUGCAAACAGUGUGGGAAGGGUUUCAGAUGCACAACUGACCUGAAACGACACUGAAAGUGUUCACACCAGUGUGCAGCCGUUCCGUUGCAACCAGUGUAAGAAGAGAUUCAAAUCGGAGAGAUAUCUACAACUGCACAAGAAAAGUCACGAUGUAGAACCGAUGCACAGGCCUAUUUGCCAACACUGUGGCAAGAGUUACACUAGUGCAGCAGUCCUCAAAAUACACAUACGCACCCACACCGGAGAGCGGCCUUACUCCUGCUCAGUCUGUGGGAAGAAGUUCAAUCAAAAGCACACAUUAGUUAGACAUCUCCGGAUACACAGAGGAGAGAGACCAUACCUGUGUAGCGUAUGCGGGAAGGCUUUCUUUGUUUCCAGGGAACUCUUAGUGCACAUGCGUUUUCACACAGGGGAACGACCUUACCGCUGUAAACCGUGUGGAAAGGCUUUCAGCACGUCAUGCGCUCUCACGUCGCAUAAGCGAUGGCACUCAAACGAGCGCCCGUUCACCUGCUCCCUGUGUUCAAAGGGCUUUGCGGAAACUGGUGGCCUUAAAAGACACAUGUUUAUUCAUACCGAGGAGAAGCCCCAUUACUGCCACACGUGUGGGAAAGGAUUUAGUCAGUUGAGCAACAUGAGAAUACAUUUGAAAACUCAUAAAAAAAUAAUGUCAUUGGAUAUUUGUCAGACUAAUGGAAUUUUUAUGCUAGUAUAAUGUUUCACCUUGAGCUCAAAGCCAAAAGUAAGAAAAAAAUGAAAUUGUAUUAUAGGUAGUGUUCAUCGCCGUGAGAAAGUUUUCACCAUUUAUUGACUAAGUAGCCAUUCUGUUAUUUUCCCCUUGGUAAGGUGAUCGGUUGUUAAGGAACUUUGGGCACAGACUUCACAACGACGCUGAGGUUUUACUUAGUGCACUGCCAACUGUACUGUACUCUGUGAGCACAGUAGGAUUAACAUGAUAUAAGCAUGUUGUGUAGGCUGUUCUGUACCUGAAGUAAUGAAGAAAAAAAAACAUUUUGACCGCAACUAUCAAGUUGUCCUUUAAUAAUCGUUCAUGUGUUUUGGGGCAAGCUCUUGAUGUAUGUUGGAACAGAGUCCUCCCUUUUCUCCUGCAUAGUCACCUGUUCAAGUGUCCUUGUCUGAGGAAUGUUUAUUUUUAUUUUCAGUCCCUAAGUCAGGCACCUGAUUCCCUUCUGGUUCAUGCUGGGCUGAAGUGCAAUUGGGUACACUUUGUUUUCCAUUGUAGUUAGACCUGGGUUCAAAUACUAUUUAAAAUAUCUCAACUUUCACCUACAUUGUCGAAGUAAGUAUUCAGAUAUAUUUUAUUUCAGAAGACAAGUAGUUGAAUAUUUGAAAAUACUAAAAUACACUGACUCAAAUACACUCCCAUGCAUUUAACCCAGGUAUUGAAAAUAGUAUUUAAAAUAAGUGUUUGAAAAUACUCUUACUAUUUGUUUUUUUACAAAUAGCCAUUCAAAUACUCAAAUAGAAGUACUUGUUUUGUUUUUGAAAAUACUCAAAUACACCGAAAAAUGUAUUUUAAAUAACAGAUAUUGAAAUAUAUAUUUGAACCCAGGUCUGAUUGUAAUAAAAAAUCACUCAGUAAUUGUCUGUGGUGACUCAAUAAUUAGUAAAUGAAUGUGUAUGAUAUAUGUAUUAUUAUGUACAUGAUGCUACAUUUAUUAUCCAUCAUACACUUAAUAAAAACUUUAAGUGUGGGAAAGGAUUUAUCGGAUGAGCAACAUGAGACUUCGUUUGAAAACUCAUACAAAAUAAACUCAUUGGAUCUUUGUCAGACUGAGUGAUAUUUCAAAUGCAAAUCAAUUUAUAACAUUUUUUACGUGUUUUUCUUGAUUUUUUGGUUGUUAUUCUGUCUCUCACUGUUCAAAUAAACCUACCAUUAAAAUUA
Salmo salar (Atlantic salmon) is the source of this 4180-nucleotide non-coding RNA. The record is from RefSeq and is a predicted model, not a curated record. Lineage: Eukaryota; Metazoa; Chordata; Actinopteri; Salmoniformes; Salmonidae.